AGACCCGAAACCCGGUGAUCUAGCCAUGGGCAGGUUGAAGGUUGGGUAACACUAACUGGAGGACCGAACCGACUAAUGUUGAAAAAUUAGCGGAUGACCUGUGGCUGGGGGUGAAAGGCCAAUCAAACCGGGAGAUAGCUGGUUCUCCCCGAAAGCUAUUUAGGUAGCGCCUCGUGAAUUCAUCUCCGGGGGUAGAGCACUGUUUCGGCUAGGGGGCCAUCCCGGCUUACCAACCCGAUGCAAACUGCGAAUACCGGAGAAUGUUAUCACGGGAGACACACGGCGGGUGCUAACGUCCGUCGUGAAGAGGGAAACAACCCAGACCGCCAGCUAAGGUCCCAAAGUCAUGGUUAAGUGGGAAACGAUGUGGGAAGGCCCAGACAGCCAGGAUGUUGGCUUAGAAGCAGCCAUCAUUUAAAGAAAGCGUAAUAGCUCACUGGUCGAGUCGGCCUGCGCGGAAGAUGUAACGGGGCUAAACCAUGCACCGAAGCUGCGGCAGCGACGCUUAUGCGUUGUUGGGUAGGGGAGCGUUCUGUAAGCCUGUGAAGGUGUGUCGUGAGGCAUGCUGGAGGUAUCAGAAGUGCGAAUGCUGACAUAAGUAACGAUAAAGCGGGUGAAAAGCCCGCUCGCCGGAAGAC
This 638-nucleotide ribosomal RNA is filed under the name Salmonella enterica subsp. enterica serovar Aberdeen. RNAcentral's name for it is "partial 23S ribosomal RNA". It matches the Rfam family "Bacterial large subunit ribosomal RNA", at positions 711 to 1345 of the family's 2925-position model. Lineage: Bacteria; Pseudomonadati; Pseudomonadota; Gammaproteobacteria; Enterobacterales; Enterobacteriaceae. The record is from RNAcentral.